GACGAACGCUGGCGGCGUGCUUAACACAUGCAAGUCGAACGGUGAAGGGACUGGUUUUGCUGGUCCUGGAUGAGUGGCGAACGGGUGAGUAACACGUGAGUAACCUGCCCCCUUCUUCUGGAUAACCGCAUGAAAGUGUGGCUAAUACGGGAUAUUCUGGGUCUGUCGCAUGGUGGGCCUGGGAAAGAUUGCGCCUUUUUUGGUGUUUUUGGUGGGGGAUGGGCUCGCGGCCUAUCAGCUUGUUGGUGGGGUGAUGGCCUACCAAGGCGGUGACGGGUAGCCGGCCUGAGAGGGUGGACGGUCACACUGGGACUGAGACACGGCCCAGACUCCUACGGGAGGCAGCAGUGGGGAAUAUUGCACAAUGGGCGCAAGCCUGAUGCAGCGGCGCCGCGUGAGGGAUGGAGGCCUUCGGGUUGUGAACCUCUUUCGCCAGUGAAGCAGGCCUGCCUCUUUUUGUGGGUGGGUUGACGGUAGCUGGAUAAGAAGCGCCGGCUAACUACGUG
RNAcentral lists this ribosomal RNA (506 nucleotides) under uncultured bacterium. RNAcentral's name for it is "partial 16S ribosomal RNA". It matches the Rfam family "Bacterial small subunit ribosomal RNA", at positions 28 to 507 of the family's 1533-position model. The record is from RNAcentral.